UCUUGAAAAUGGAGACACUAUCGAAUUCAUGGAAAAAGGUGAAGUGUACAAGUAUUUGGGAUUCCAGCAGGCCAGACUUACAGAACAGAAGAAAACUAAACAAACACUGUCAAAACUGUAUAUCAACAGAUUAAAUAACAUUCUCAAAACACAUUCGAAUGGAAAAAACACAGUUAAAGCUAUCAACACAUUUUCUAUAUCAGUAUUAACUUACUCCUUUGGAGUGCUACAGUGGACACAGACAGAACUAGAAUCGCUCUAAAGAAAAACACGAACAACACUUACAAAAUACCGGUAUCAUCACCCGAAAUCUGUCGUAGAAAGAACUACUCUCCCACGCAAGGAAGGAGGACAUGGCCUUAUCGACAUUCCACAUUUACUCGACAGACA
RNAcentral lists this long non-coding RNA (390 nucleotides) under Androctonus crassicauda. Lineage: Eukaryota; Metazoa; Arthropoda; Arachnida; Scorpiones; Buthidae. The record is from RNAcentral.